This 433-nucleotide ribosomal RNA is filed under the name uncultured bacterium. RNAcentral's name for it is "partial 16S ribosomal RNA". It matches the Rfam family "Bacterial small subunit ribosomal RNA", at positions 29 to 507 of the family's 1533-position model. The record is from RNAcentral.
AACGAACGCUGGCGGCAUGCCUAACACAUGCAAGUCGAACGAGACCUUCGGGUCUAGUGGCGAACGGGUGCGUAACGCGUGGGAACCUGCCCUUAGGUUCGGAAUAACUCCCCGAAAGGGGUGCUAAUACCGGAUAAUGUCUUCGGACCAAAGAUUGAUCGCCUUUGGAUGGGCCCGCGUUGGAUUAGCUAGUUGGUAGGGUAAAAGCCUACCAAGGCGACGAUCCAUAGCUGGUCUGAGAGGAUGAUCAGCCACACUGGGACUGAGACACGGCCCAGACUCCUACGGGAGGCAGCAGUGUGGAAUAUUGGACAAGGGGCGAAAGCCUGAUCCAGCAAUGCCGCGUGAGUGAUGAAGGCCUUAGGGUUGUAAAGCUCUUUUACCCGGGAUGAUAAUGACAGUACCGGGAGAAUAAGCUCCGGCUAACUCCGUG